This is a long non-coding RNA of Globicephala melas (long-finned pilot whale), 282 nucleotides long. RefSeq lists it as uncharacterized. The record is from RefSeq and is a predicted model, not a curated record. NCBI's taxonomy places the organism in Eukaryota, Metazoa, Chordata, Mammalia, Artiodactyla, Delphinidae.
AACAGGUCUGUGGCCCAGCUGGUUCUAGGACAAAGAUUGAAGCCAGAAUAUUUGGAAGAUUCCACCUCACUGAAAUGCAAGGAGCUGAUGUAAGAGGGAAAUGUUAAUAAGGACUUCAAAACUCACAACCAAAGAGCUCCAAGGGACAUAGAUGCCAGCCAAAAGAAACAGAACACUACCAUAUGUUACUGAAAAUGAUUUCACCUCGGGAAGGCUUUAUGCAACUAAUUCAAGCAUGUAAAUAUAUGUUAACUUACCAAAUGUUCACAAUGGAACUUCUUU